UCCCUGGUGGUCCAGUGGCUAAGACUUUGCGCUUCCAACGCAGAGGGCCUGGGUUCGAUGCCUGGUCAGGGAA
Molecule: transfer RNA, 73 nt
Filed under: Bos taurus (domestic cattle)
Lineage: Eukaryota; Metazoa; Chordata; Mammalia; Artiodactyla; Bovidae
Also listed under: 2 other names
Description: tRNA-Gly (TCC) (tRNA-Gly-TCC-11-1)
Rfam family: tRNA
About the family: Transfer RNA (tRNA) molecules are approximately 80 nucleotides in length. Their secondary structure includes four short double-helical elements and three loops (D, anti-codon, and T loops). Further hydrogen bonds mediate the characteristic L-shaped molecular structure. tRNAs have two regions of fundamental functional importance: the anti-codon, which is responsible for specific mRNA codon recognition, and the 3' end, to which the tRNAs corresponding amino acid is attached (by aminoacyl-tRNA synthetases). tRNAs cope with the degeneracy of the genetic code in two manners: having more than one tRNA (with a specific anti-codon) for a particular amino acid; and 'wobble' base-pairing, i.e. permitting non-standard base-pairing at the 3rd anti-codon position.
Source: Rfam by way of RNAcentral